This 74-nucleotide transfer RNA is filed under the name Spirochaetaceae bacterium. RNAcentral's name for it is "tRNA-Ala". It matches the Rfam family "tRNA". Rfam says of the family: Transfer RNA (tRNA) molecules are approximately 80 nucleotides in length. Lineage: Bacteria; Pseudomonadati; Spirochaetota; Spirochaetia; Spirochaetales; Spirochaetaceae. The record is from RNAcentral.
GGGGGUGUAGCUCAGUUGGCUAGAGCGUUUGAAUGGCAUUCAAGAGGUCGCGGGUUCAAUUCCCACCACCUCCA